AUGUGGGAUCUGGAGAUGUGAACGGAUGCAUGGAAAAGUCCAAAGCAAACACAAGCCAUGUCUGGGAGCAGGGCCAGAGGGGGCCCGUGGGAAUGCUGUUUAGCUCUCAGAGCCUGAGAUGGGUUGGAACUGCAGUCAGAGUUCUUUUUCCAUCCCUUCGGAACCCACCACUCCCUACCCCACCUCUCACAGCCUCUGGCCACCCUGCAGAGGGCCCAGCUUCCUGCUCAACUCCUGCCCUGACCCAGAGGGCCAACUCUUCCAGUUCUAUUCAAAUCUACCCAUGUUUCAUUUAUUCACCAGGAAAAAAAAAAUAAAACCUAACAUCUACUUUUUAUUGAAUACUAUAAUGUAGAUAUUAUUCCCCUUUUUACAACAGAGGAUACGGAAACUCAGAUGAAUUUAGCAACUUGCCCUAGGUCAGUCACACUUCUAGAAACUGACAGAGAGGACCUCACAUCUAGAUCUUUCAGCCUCCAAAAUCUCCCUCAUUGUGACUCCAUUCUCCUUUCCUCCUCUUUUGCCCUGCUGGAGGGAGGGGAAGAGCUGCAUCUCACCAUAACCUCCUCAUUGAAAUGAUGUGACAUCUGGGACUUGCUUUAGUGUAACCUAGUGCAGAAAAGAAGUGCAAGGCCACCAAUGAAACCGGUGCUGACUGCUAAAGUUGAGUGAUGGGUUCAUUGGAGCUCCAUAUACUACUUUAACAUGUUUUAAAUUCUCAUAAUAAGAGAUUAAAACAAUAUAUCCUCUGCAAAGUUGUGGUUAGGUAUAGAAACACCUAGUAUGACUGGAGCUUCAGUGAUGAUAGAGAUUGUCAGAAGGUUCCAGAACACAGAGCUGCAAGGGACUGCAGGGGGUCACCAGGUCCAGUCCCUGCCUUAGAGCAGGACUUCGGCCUUCUCCAGACACAUCAACUUGAAACAAGGCCAAGGCCUCCCUCCUCCCCAUGAUUCCAUCUCUUGGUGUGACGGGCCUCAACUUAGCUGAAAAACCAGCCAAGGAUGGAGAAGGCUGCUUCCUCCGUUACACUUUCCAUGUGAAGUUUUAAUUGUCUGUCUGUCUGUGUUUUCCCCUUUGGCAGAUAUUCCAGGCUCAGGGCAGCUAUAGUUUCCUGGUCUGUGGCGUGAUCUUUGGUUGUCUGGCUUUUACCUUCUAUAUCUUGCUCCUGUUUUUCCACAGGAUGCACCCUGGACUCCCAUCAGUUCCUACCCAAGACAGAUCAAUUGGAAUGGAAAACUCUGAGUGCUACCAGAGGUAAAACUGGGUGAAGGAGGCAAGAGAAGACUUUCAGCCUCUUGAUCACCAGCACGACCAUACUGUUUCAGAAAGCUGGGUGGUGGUGGAGGCGCUCUCUCAAUGGCUAUUCAAGUCUUCUCCACUAAAACUUGGUUGGGUAGAGGAAAUUAAAGUGAGUCCUGGUACCUGGUCAAAAUCAUUAGAAGUUUACCUGGCUUCUCAAGUUAUCUUCUUCCCUGGUUCAGACUGUUGGUAAGAGCUGUCCAGAUACCCAGAUGGGAAGGAAGGAGACAGCCGCGCGCUUCACUCCAUUUGUCACCUCAUGCAUGGACCAUACUCUGGGUUUGAGAUCAUUCUUCAUUGAAGUUUGUAAAAAUAGGUUGAAAUUGUAAAGCUCCAUGAUCAUUGCUAUAUGUAGAUAUAUUUCAAUUUAAGCAAAACAAGCUGCAAGUUAUUCCCUGGCAUGCUCAAAGGAUUUUCGUGCUUUUCACUUAAUAGUCCAAAGUCCCUUAAAUUCCUGCUGCAGACAUCAAUAGCUUAUCUAUAUUCUCAAACACCAAAAGGAAAAGUUGAAUCUUGCUCUCUUUGGUAUACUAAUGUAGUGGUAUGCUAAGCUAGCUCAUACCAACUUAGAAAAGCUGAUUGUAAAAUUUUCAUUUUGACAGCUGGUUAUUAAAUGCAGCCAUUAUUAAAAAUCAAAUCUUACAAACUUAUAAUUAAAUCAAUUACAUUUAAAACAAAGGUAAUAAAUAUUCAAAGCAUAUCACUUCCUAAUUUGAUCUUGAUGCUCUUGAGGUAAUUUACGUCCAUGGUACCUGUGUGGUGGAAUUACUAUAUAUGAUGGUGUGCUACUGUGCACCUUGUCUCAGCUCCACUCUUCGUGAUAGCAUGUUGGUAGCUUGAAAUCAGCCAGGUGGGAGUAUUACCAUGGACACUGGCAAAAGCUACAGAUCCCGGAGAGCCAGUGGUUAAACAUUUACCAGCAUACCACUGCUAGUAAUCAAGGCUAACUGGUCCAGAAAUCGCCCGGGAGAAUGAAAUGGAUGUUCCAUUUUUUUCUACUGACAUUGACUAGCAUAUAAAAGGUAUAGAAACAGCACUAAGACUUUCUGAAAAUACCUAAUGAAAAUUUUACAUCUUUUUUUGUUUUUGUUUUUGAGACAGAGUCUCACUCUGUUGCCAGGCUGGAAUGCAGUGGCGUCAUCUCGGCUCACUGCAACCUCCGCCUCCCAGUUUCAAGCGAUUCUCCUGCCUCAGCCUCCCAAGUAGCUGUGACUACAGGCGCAUGCCAUCACGCACAGCUAAUUUUUUGUAUUUUUAGUAGAGACGGGAUUUCACCGUGUUAGCCAGGAUGGUCUUGAUCUCCUGACCUCAUGAUCUGCCCGCCUCGGCCUCCCAAAGUGCUGGGAUUACAGGCGUGAGCCACUGCACCCAGCCAAAAAUUUUCCAUCUUUUAUAGAGGGAAAAAAACUCUUUAUACCAUGGCAAGGCCUUUUCUUUCACAAAAAGCUGGGCCUACUGAACAAUUCAAGCUGUGCAGUAGUAGACUGAAAGCAGGAUUUGUUGAGGAGUUACAGCUCCUGUCCAGAGCAAAUCCUGUAGUGAUACAAGGAGAAUGUAAACUUGCCAGCUUAGACAGGGAUCAGUCCUGAGACUGCUGGCAGUAGCAAAUGGCUAUUAGAGUAACUGUAUAAUGGUUUUGCCUGCACUUUCUCUAUGUAUAUACAAAUGUACAUGUAUAAAUAUAAAAAUUAAGUGAUCAUGGUUCUUGGUAACCUGUCCCAAGUGCUGUGAUUCACACGCCUGACACUAAAAGGUUCUUCCUGGUCCAGUCAGCCAGCUGUGACCAGCAGCAGCACAGCUGAGUGCUGAGAAUCUGGCUGGAAAGAGAAACGUGGCUCAAGUGCUGGCUCACCUUCUAGCUGUGUGGCCCUGGGCAGGUUACUGAGGCUCUUCCAACCUCACUUUUCACAUGUAAAAUGGCAUUUCUAAAAGUACCUACCCUACCUCAAAGGAAUUCUGAAAAAAGUAAGUGAAUUUGUAUAAAGCACUCACAAUAUGCCUGACACACAAACUGCUUAAUAAAUGUUAGUAAUUUUUAAAACCUCCUCAUAAGCAGCUUAGAAAUUAUUCAUGUUUGGUACAUAUUUAUUGCAAGUCAAGCAGAUCCAACUUUUUUGAAAGCUGGUGGUCUAGGAGUAUAGUUUUAAUUAUGUUUGUAAAUACUCAAAAGUAUUAGAUGCCAGUCUAAUUUAAAUGCAGUCUGACUGUAGCGAGUAACUGACCUGGGCAAUGAAAAAGCAGCUGUAUUUUUCUUGUGGUUUUUCAAGAAAAUAUCCUUUUUAUACAGAUUUAGAAAGAAGAAUCAAUGGCUAUAUCGAAGUUGAUUGUGACUAAUUUGUUAAUACAGAAAACAACAUUAACACAAAUCUAAGAGUACCUUUCCUAAAAUAAAAUAUUUAAACUUA
RNAcentral lists this small RNA (3704 nucleotides) under Pan troglodytes (chimpanzee). Its description in RNAcentral is "retained intron". Lineage: Eukaryota; Metazoa; Chordata; Mammalia; Primates; Hominidae. The record is from RNAcentral.